AGGAAGGGCAUAGCCAUAGCUGUUGGCAGAGAGACCAGGUGAAGUUUCAGGGUCUCCAAGCUCCAGACAAGGCUGAAACUGGUCCCUAGCCUAUUGAUCUCCUGUACCACCCACAACCAUCACUUUCUGUCAGAGGAGGAUGUCCCUGCCCUUUUCUGGUAAUGUUUACGGCAACUCAGCUGCACUUAGCCAACACUUUAGUCAGGCAAAGAGAUACUUAACAGACUUGGCUGGGGCCAUGAACAUAGAUUGGUUUAACCACUUCAACAGUUAGUUUUAUCACAAAAUCCCAUCUGGCAGAUACAAAACCGCAGACUUGGAGGGGACCCAAUGAUGAUCAACACCACAAUCGUCUAACAAACAAAUUUUACCUUUUUUGUGCUUUGGUGGACAUUUUGUUUUAACCAUCAACAGGAAUUAAAGGCAAAUCUCCACACAACAGAUAUUAAGACAACCACGAACAUAGUUGGAUCCCUGUGUGCCCCUGGUUACUAUAGCUUGCUUGUCCUACAGAAUCCCAACAGUCUUGGUUUUAUUUUAUUUAUUUUAAAACCAGAUGACUAGUGCUCAUGUGAUGGCCUGGGAAUCCGAUUCAGAGGCUGAACUGGAGGAAUCCCAGCCUGCACAGGAGUCCCCGCCACCAGGGCUGGCUGAACUGGGGCAGGACCUUGAUUCUGAAGCGCCUACACCUGUGCCGGAUCCUCAGGAGCAGGCACCAGGUGAAUCCACUCUGGCUCCGGAGGUGGUUGAGGACUCAGUGCCUACAGGUGAGUCUCCCCCUGGGUCCAGUAACCCUUCAGCCUCUCCUGAACUACAGAGGCUCAGGGCAGAGAGGCGAAGGGAACAGGAGGAGUGCUCGCCUUAAGGCCAGGAGAGGCGGGUCUCCUGGGGGCCAGGACCGCCCCUGGCCUCAGAGAAGAUAAAGGCCAGUCAGCCCGGUCCCAGGUUGCGGGAGCAACGUCGUUGAAGAGCUGUUUCGGCCAGCAUCCAGUCCUGUUCCCCCAGAGUUCCUGUCCUUGCCCGGCUUCUCGCUGUGGACCCCGCUUCGCCCGAGGAGGACUGUCUGCCGACCCUCAACUCAGGUCCUGGACCUCGCCCCACGGUAACCUCCCCCCUGGACCAGCACAGCUCAUCACACACACCACAGAUGUAGCGAGAGAAGGUCAGACUAAGACUGAGGUUUGUAUCCAACUAAGUCCAAGCAGAGCAGACCCAUUGAAAGACUUAAGUCAGUCAUCUCCAUUAAUUUCAGUGACUCUACUCUGAUAUUCAAUCAAUAAUAGGACAUGUGUCUCUGAGGAUCCUACAGUAUGACUGAUGCCACAUUCCCACCAUGGGUUUAAGGCACUAUGAUCCCACUUUGAACAGUCAUGACCUCCCCUCAAAGAAUUCUGGGAGCUGUACUUUGUGAUGGGUGCUGAGGGUUGUUAGAAGACCCCUAAUCUCUUAUCAGAGCUAGAAUUAUUGUCAGAGUUGUUCAACAAUCAGUUUCUCUUCCCAGGGGACUCGGGUUCCUCACCCCUGACAUGGGCUCUGACUAUCUGGCCACGGCUCUCAGCUUCUGACUCCCCACUUAUCCAUGCCAAUGGCUUGUAAAAGAACCCAUUGCCAAAUGAACAAAUGUAGCCGGUAGUGUAGAAACCAGCUUGCAGAAUUUAGGGGGGGGGGAGAGGGAGGUGGGAAACCCCAGGCAAAUGUUCUUUGUUGCGCGAGAAUAGAGAGUGUUAGACGUUUGUUCCUAUUUUCACUUGCAUAACAGUGAAGGAUAUAUGACCAGGGAAUGUGACUUAUGGUCCUUUCUGGAUGAAGCACCUUGUUGCUGUGCCCUGGUUUCCUAAGUUGAAAUUAAAGUACAAGCUUGCAUUUAGGCAUUUGACUCCUCCAUAUAUAUAUUUAUAGAGGCUCUGCCUUCGGGAAUCCAGCCAGUAAAUCUUGUCCUGUAUGUUAGAAGCUGAUAACAGCGUGGUACACAAAAGGCAAGAGGGAAGGAAGUGGAAAUGAGCGAUAAGAGGUUCACCCAGAUACUUCUUUUGUUAUUGUGCAAUUUGAUAGGUAUAUUUCCCUGCCCAAUAAAUGACAAAGUGGCUUUCUUUGGGUAACAAAGAGCCCAGCUUUUUCUGUGAUCAAUAGUGAUGUGCAACCAAUAAAUUAUAAAACUUUUCCCCCAACCUUUUUUGUGCUAGUCUUAAGUUGGAUGGAGCGGUAAGGAAGAAACUGCAUGAAGAAGGUUAAGAAAUGGUUUUGUUUACAGAUCAAAAAAGGGAGUGCUUACCAGAAUAAAGGAAUAACAAAGUAACACAUCU
Molecule: long non-coding RNA, 2303 nt
Filed under: Podarcis lilfordi (Lilford's wall lizard)
Lineage: Eukaryota; Metazoa; Chordata; Lepidosauria; Squamata; Lacertidae
Source: RNAcentral